CUUAAUUUUGUGACCUAAACCCCAGAGAGGAAAAAACCCUUUCCCACAAUCAGAUAUCUUAUAAGUGAAGUACCAGGACUACAACUCCAGAUUCUUCAUGGAAAUGACCAUCUGAAUGGGCAAAGAAACCUAUCUAAAAAAGAGGAAAAAACUGCAAAAGAGCUCCAAGACAGCAUACGGGCAGACAUCUGACCUGUGGUAAAAACCAAUUACACAAGUGAGUUUGUUUGUUACCCAGAAAAUUAGCUCUCUGGAAACAUCUGAUUGCAGACACUGUGUCUCCAGGACUCUCUACAAGCUGACACAGAGGCUUUAAAGGGCAACUAUACUCAGAGCCAAUUCGCUUAAUUUCAUACAAUAUAUUUUGGGAUUAAGGUUUAAAAUAGUUGGCCAGUGAUAUUCAAGAGUACAAAAUCAAUUUUCAAUGUAUUAUAGCUUACUGGGUAAUCACACUUCCAUUAAGUUUAUAGGGUGUUUAUUUCCAUUUCAGAGACAUGAAUUCCUAAUAUUAUUUCUAGAUGAUCUAUAAAUAACUCUAGAUAUGCUUGCCAGUGCGUUGCUUUGCUUUUGAUGGCAUAAGAUGGAAAACAUAAAUAACAAAGUAUUCCAUUUUCUUAGCCAAAGGAAAGAAUUCUUUUUUUAAUCCAGAAAAUUGUGUAUUACUUUGGAAGCUACAUGCAAAUCAGGUCAUUUAGACACAAUAUCAAAAGGAAAGGUCUCCUAGGGAACUGUUUGCAGUUUAAAUGUUCGGUAUGUUCCUUCUUCAAUUAAAGCACAGUACAGUAAAGGGACACAUCCCUUGAGUCACCCCUGGUGUUAGAAGUCAUUAGCUUUCCCCAAACCCUAGAAACAGUCUGAAUGAAAACUUUUUGUUGAGGCAAGUAAAAUCUUGGAGGGUAAAUAAAUUUCAGAUUUUAAGAUUCACCGUACAAAUCACAUUUGGGCGGUAAUAUGUUUAAUUUAAUGGUAAGGAAUUCUGUCAAGUGUCAACUUGCUGCCCCCAAAUGAUUUAAGGAAGUCAAUGGAAACUUUAGAAUGAAAAGGUCAGUGAUUGAAGUUAGCUAUUCCAAAUGGCCUUUCUACAAAAACACUAUCUUUUCCAAUAACAAACUUUCUUGAAUAGGCCCAUUCACUAAACUAAAUAAAUGCUGAUAAAUAAUUUGAUAGUCAACUUAACUUUACACCA
Long non-coding RNA from Lutra lutra (Eurasian river otter), 1186 nucleotides. RefSeq lists it as uncharacterized. The record is from RefSeq and is a predicted model, not a curated record. NCBI's taxonomy places the organism in Eukaryota, Metazoa, Chordata, Mammalia, Carnivora, Mustelidae. The transcript is spliced from 3 exons.